GCCCGGGAGACCCCCCUGGCGAGGGUACCGGGCUGUUACCCCGGUCGUGGGAGGUUCGAGUCCUUCUCCGGGUG
RNAcentral lists this transfer RNA (74 nucleotides) under Halorubrum vacuolatum. RNAcentral describes it as "tRNA_Asn_GTT". It matches the Rfam family "tRNA". Rfam says of the family: Transfer RNA (tRNA) molecules are approximately 80 nucleotides in length. Their secondary structure includes four short double-helical elements and three loops (D, anti-codon, and T loops). The record is from RNAcentral. Lineage: Archaea; Methanobacteriati; Methanobacteriota; Halobacteria; Halobacteriales; Haloferacaceae.